This 420-nucleotide ribosomal RNA is filed under the name uncultured bacterium. RNAcentral's name for it is "bacterial SSU rRNA". It matches the Rfam family "Bacterial small subunit ribosomal RNA", at positions 355 to 774 of the family's 1533-position model. The record is from RNAcentral.
UAAGGAAUAUUGCUCAAUGGGAGAAAUCCUGAAGCAGCAACGCCGCGUGGUGGAUGAAGGGUCUAUGACUUGUAAACUCCUGUAAAGAAGGAAAAAAUUCCCAUUUGAUGGGAGAUGAUGGUACUUCUGGAGUAAGCCCCGGCUAACUACGUGCCAGCAGCCGCGGUAAUACGUAGGGGGCAAGCGUUGUCCGGAUUUACUGGGUGUAAAGGGUGCUCAGGCGGAUUUGUAAGUCAGAGGUGAAAUCUUACAGCUUAACUGUGAAACUGCCUUUGAUACUGCAAGCCUAGAGUAUGGAAGAGAGUGAUGGAAUAUCUGGUGUAGCAGUGAAAUGCGUAGAUAUCAGAUAGAACACCAAUGGCGAAGGCAGUCACUUGGUCCAUUACUGACGCUAAAGCACGAAAGCGUGGGUAGCAAACA